This 310-nucleotide unclassified non-coding RNA is filed under the name uncultured fungus. RNAcentral describes it as "partial contains 5.8S ribosomal RNA, internal transcribed spacer 2, and large subunit ribosomal RNA". The stretch from base 1 to 52 matches the Rfam family "5.8S ribosomal RNA", at positions 103 to 154 of the family's 154-position model. The record is from RNAcentral. Lineage: Eukaryota; Fungi.
AACGCAUCUUGCGCUCCUUGGUAUUCCGAGGAGCAUGCCUGUUUGAGUGUCGUGAAUAAACCUCGGGCCUUCUUUCCUUUCGAGGAGUAAGAGGCUCGGAUAGUGGACGCUUUGCCGUGCUCGAUCGCGGCUCGUCUUGAAAUGAAUUAGAGUCGGGUCCCAGAAGGGGUUAACGGUGUGAUAAGGUCUCGCCGUAAUGCCUUUUCGAUACUGGACCCAAAUGCUCAUUUUGUCCUUUUAGUUGGACUGUCCCUUAGGGGCAUAUAAGCAGUGUGACCUCAAAUCAGGUAGGACUACCCGCUGAACUUAA